This 502-nucleotide long non-coding RNA is filed under the name Anser cygnoides (Swan goose). RNAcentral's name for it is "lncRNA (ENSACDG00005004510.1)". Lineage: Eukaryota; Metazoa; Chordata; Aves; Anseriformes; Anatidae. The record is from RNAcentral.
UUGAGGGAAUCUAUAACUAAAGGGAUUAGGAUGAGACCUUCAAGGGAGAGAGAUUAUCCUGCAUCUGCGGGGGUUUCUUGUAUCUUUCUCCAGAGCAUCUGGUGCUGGCUACGGUUGGAGCAGUGUAUUAGACUUGGUAGAUGACAAGUUUGUGCCAGAACAAGAAGUCUGGUGUUCAAAGCUAAAAAAGCACUUACUGUGCAUCGCCUGUGUUCGUGUCAUCUGCCCACUACAGUGGAGCCAUGUCUUCAGUUUAUUUCCAUGUACCAGCAUCGAACCAUCUCAACAAUGGGCUUCUUUGGAGGACAGCUGUUGUGCAGUAGGGAACAUCUGCGCUUCUGAAGUGAAAAUGGAGAGAUUCUUCCCACCUUGUUAUCAUUCAGGGCUUGUUCAUAAGUGUGGCACUGAAAGGGGAAAAUUCGGUUUUACCAGUGGAGUACCUUGCAGUGUACACAAAAUUCAGUCUUAGAAAAAUAAAUUCCAGUGGACGGAUAACUAUCCA